RNAcentral lists this ribosomal RNA (434 nucleotides) under Halovibrio sp. HP-P3. RNAcentral's name for it is "bacterial SSU rRNA". It matches the Rfam family "Bacterial small subunit ribosomal RNA", at positions 65 to 479 of the family's 1533-position model. The record is from RNAcentral. Lineage: Bacteria; Pseudomonadati; Pseudomonadota; Gammaproteobacteria; Oceanospirillales; Halomonadaceae.
UGCGAGAAAGGGACUUCGGUCCUGAGUAGAGCGGCGCACGGGUGAGUAACGCGUGGGUAAUCUCCCUUGGUGAUCGGGAUAACAGCGGGAAACUGCUGCUAAUACCGGAUAAUCUUCAUGUUUAACUUCAUGGGGUAAAGGUGGCCUCUGCUUGCAAACUACCACAUCAAGAUGAGCCCGCGUCUCAUUAGCUAGUUGGUAGGGUAAUGGCCUACCAAGGCUACGAUGAGUAGCUGGUCUGAGAGGAUGACCAGCCACACUGGGACUGGAACACGGCCCAGACUCCUACGGGAGGCAGCAGUGGGGAAUAUUGCGCAAUGGGCGAAAGCCUGACGCAGCGACGCCUCGUGAGGGAUGAAGGUCUUCGGAUCGUAAACCUCUGUCAAGAGGGAAGAAACCCUUGGAUUCGAAUAGGGUCCUUGGCUGACGGUACC